Molecule: long non-coding RNA, 1651 nt
Organism: Athene cunicularia (burrowing owl)
Lineage: Eukaryota; Metazoa; Chordata; Aves; Strigiformes; Strigidae
Exons: 5
Source: RefSeq, a predicted model, not a curated record
UCUAGGUCUGACUUAUCCACUCCUGGAGGGGGUUGGAAAACAAAUCUGCGGAGCAAGCCUGCAAAGAAGAGGAACAGCUCCAUUUUGGCAAGUCCUUCUCCAACGCAAGCCCUUCGUCCUGAAAACAACCAGGAGAGAAAUAAAUUAUCAGCACCAUAACCAUUAGUGUUGAUGUCUGAGACCUUCUAAAUUGGAUGUACAGUCUGUAAGAACAGGCUGCUGAGGCAGCUCUCCUGGUUCAAUGACGUGGUUCAUUUCUUCCUGAAUCUUUCCUUGGAGGGAGGAAAGGAUUAAGAAGCUGAUAACCCUCUUAUCUUGCAACUGGAAUGGCCAAGAUGAAGAAAAGGGAAAACUUUGAGGGGUAUUUGGGAGAGCAGAAGUGGGUAUUUCUGCUCUCUCUCCAAAUUCUUCAGCAUGAUUUGAAAGGGCAUCCUUGAUGGUUUCAUACCCAGCCAGUACUACAGCUUUCCUGGGUCCAAAAUGCACAGUGAAGACAUUGCCAUAUAUCUUGGAGAGCUGUCAAGGUCCACCACGUUCAAGUUUCCAAUCAGAGGAAGAGGUCGCGGCCCAGGAGGCAAACUGCAAACCGACUUCUUCAAGCUGGGGCAGAAUUAAGGGACCUGUGUUGGAUUGCUCUCAUGGUGCCAAAUCACAGGACUCAGCUGGACCUCUCGUGAUGCAAUGAAAAAAGCAGGACACAGGAGGAAAAACUCACAAUAAUGCAUGGCCCAGGGUGCAGCUGGCAAGCAAGUCUUCAGGGAAGACAGUGCUGUCCAAGGAGGAGUUGGAAUAGUGGUGGCAUGAAGAUGUGCUAAUUCGGGACUGCAGACAGGAGUAGGGCUACCUACAGGUGACAGCUCUGAUUCUCUCUGCUUUCCUGCCACCCCAGGAAAAUCAUACCCUUGAGCAACACAAUGCUUUCAUUGCUGACACUGUUAUUGAUCUUUGUCCCAGAAAUCCUCUACCAGCAAUCCCCAAACGCCCCUGAAACCACUUUAGUCACUAUUUUGCAGUUUACUGUCAAGAGGACUGUGUGCCUGGAUGUCCAUCUGUAUCUCUCAGUUUGGUGAUGACUCUCUCCUGGCUGUCCUGCCUGUUUACAAGCAGAUGCAUACAAUCCUCUAGGAGAAACCAUCCCCUCCAGGCAAUCCUUCUGCCUAGACUGGGAAAGAAAUCCCUGAUCUUUGUAACCUGGAAGGAGCCAGGAUCAAGCUCUGCAGCUGGCCAGGCAGAGGCUGGAGGCUGCCUGGGCAGCUCUUUGCAGAGGGGCUGCCAGCCAGGAGGAGCACCCAGCAACAGCUCUGGCACUCUGGGGUACUGAGUCACGCACCGUGCCAGGGCAGGGUCCUGCAAGAGCCCACGUGCCCAGGCGACAGCUCCCCAGGAGCCACCCGCACCCUUUGCAUCCUUGGGGGAUGUCAACAAUGCAGAAAUAGUCAUGAACAGGAGGCCACAGUUUUAAAUGGUGACUCUAGGGGAAGGAGCCAAUUUGAUGCUCUCUCACAUAUUCUCAGGUGGGGAUAUUUUGCUCCCCAGUUGCAGGUUCUGACAGAUUAAUGGACCAUGCUGCUGUUCAACUGUUUACAAAUCUUUAGUUUUAAUAAUCCUUUUGCUAGAAUCCUCCAAGGCUCCACUGAUGGAAAAAUUAAGA